UACGAAGGGGGCUAGCGUUGCUCGGAAUCACUGGGCGUAAAGCGCACGUAGGCGGCUUCUUAAGUCAGGGGUGAAAUCCUGGAGCUCAACUCCAGAACUGCCUUUGAUACUGAGGAGCUUGAGUCCGGGAGAGGUGAGUGGAACUGCGAGUGUAGAGGUGAAAUUCGUAGAUAUCGUAAGGAAGACCAGUGGCGAAGGCGGGUCUCUGGACAGUUCCUGACGCUGAGGCACGAAGGUCAGGGGAGCAAACGGG
This 253-nucleotide ribosomal RNA is filed under the name uncultured bacterium. Its description in RNAcentral is "partial 16S ribosomal RNA". It matches the Rfam family "Bacterial small subunit ribosomal RNA", at positions 524 to 776 of the family's 1533-position model. The record is from RNAcentral.